GCUGUCGCUAAAGGAUGGACCUGCGAUGCAUUAGCUAGUUGGUAAGGGUAACGGGCGUUUACCCAAGGCGAUGAUGCAUAGCCCGAGUUGAGAGACUGAUCGGGCCACAUUGGGACUGAGACACGGGCCCAAACUCCUACGGGAGGCAGCAGUAGGGGGAAUCUUCCACAAUGGACGAAAGUCUGAUGGAGCAAACGCCGCGUGAGUGAAGAAGGUUUUCGGAUCGUAAAAAGCUCUGUUGUUGGUGAAGAAGGAUAGAGGUAGUAACUGGCCCUUUAUUUGACGGUAAUCAACCCAGAAAGUCACGGGCUAACUACGUGCCCAGCAGCCGCGGGUAAAU
This 340-nucleotide ribosomal RNA is filed under the name uncultured Lactobacillus sp. RNAcentral describes it as "bacterial SSU rRNA". It matches the Rfam family "Bacterial small subunit ribosomal RNA", at positions 211 to 526 of the family's 1533-position model. The record is from RNAcentral. Lineage: Bacteria; Bacillati; Bacillota; Bacilli; Lactobacillales; Lactobacillaceae.